RNAcentral lists this ribosomal RNA (465 nucleotides) under Vreelandella stevensii. RNAcentral describes it as "partial 16S ribosomal RNA". It matches the Rfam family "Bacterial small subunit ribosomal RNA", at positions 338 to 795 of the family's 1533-position model. Lineage: Bacteria; Pseudomonadati; Pseudomonadota; Gammaproteobacteria; Oceanospirillales; Halomonadaceae. The record is from RNAcentral.
CCUACGGGGGGCAGCAGUGGGGAAUAUUGGACAAUGGGGGCAACCCUGAUCCAGCCAUGCCGCGUGUGUGAAGAAGGCCCUCGGGUUGUAAAGCACUUUCAGUGAGGAAGAACGCCUGGUGGUUAAUACCCAUCAGGAAAGACAUCACUCACAGAAGAAGCACCGGCUAACUCCGUGCCAGCAGCCGCGGUAAUACGGAGGGUGCGAGCGUUAAUCGGAAUUACUGGGCAUAAAGCGCGCGUAGGUGGCUUGAUAAGCCGGUUGUGAAAGCCCCGGGCUCAACCUGGGAACGGCAUCCGGAACUGUCAAGCUAGAGUGCAGGAGAGGAAGGUAGAAUUCCCGGUGUAGCGGUGAAAUGCGUAGAGAUCGGGAGGAAUACCAGUGGCGAAGGCGGCCUUCUGGACUGACACUGACACUGAGGUGCGAAAGCGUGGGUAGCAAACAGGAUUAGAUACCCUUGUAGUC